GUCAGUAUGGCCGAGCGGUUUAAGGCGCUGCAAUCAGGUCGUAGUACACUUGCGUGGGCUUGAAUCCCACUUCUGACA
Trichonephila clavipes is the source of this 78-nucleotide non-coding RNA. NCBI's taxonomy places the organism in Eukaryota, Metazoa, Arthropoda, Arachnida, Araneae, Nephilidae. The record is from the annotation of a GenBank genome assembly.